UCAAGAGGAAUGAAAUUAUUUACAUGUAGUUGGAUCCCAAAAGAUUGUGAACCAAAAGCUUUGAUUUUCCUUUGUCAUGGAUAUGCCAUGGAAUGCAGUAUAUCGAUGAAAGAUGCUGGAACGCGAUUGGCGAAAUCAGGAUUUGGAGUUUAUGGAAUUGAUUAUGAAGGACAUGGAAAAUCAGAUGGACUUCAAGGAUAUGUUAAUAGCUUUGAUGCUCUUGUUGAUGAUUGUUUUGAUCAUUAUUCCAAAAUUUCUGAAAGAAAGGAAAAUAAGAAAAAGAUGAGAAUAUUAAUGGGAGAAUCGAUGGGAGGAGCUGUGGCUCUACUUUUACACAGAAAAAAACCUGAAUUUUGGGAUGGUGCUGUUUUAAUUGCUCCAAUGUGUAAGAUUGCAGAUGAUCUGAGGCCACAUCCAGUGGUGAUAAGUGUUUUGACCAAACUUUGCAACUUUAUCCCAACUUGGAGAAUAGUUCCAACUCAAGAUAUUGUUGAUUCAGCAUUUAGAGACCCUGAAGUUAGAAAAGAGAUUAGAAACAACCCUCAUUGCUACAAGGGAAAGCCCAGGCUACAAACAGCUCACCAACUAAUGACAGUCAGCAUGGAUUUAGAACAAAGACUUGAAGAAGUCACAUUGCCAUUUCUCAUUGUUCAUGGUGAAGAGGACACUGUGACUGAUCCAUCUGUAAGCAAACUUCUCCACGAAAAGGCAUCGAGCAUCGACAAGAGCUUCAAGCUGUACCCAGGGAUGUGGCAUUCCCUCUCCUACGGAGAAUUCCCCGAGAACAGAGACAUCGUGUUCUCGGACAUUGUAGUGUGGCUCAAGGAGAGAAUAAGCAUGGGUAACUCAAGGCUAGAGAGGCAACAAAAGCUAGCAAAUGAUCAAAUUUUACCAAAGAUGACCACUUAGCUAAAUGGACCUUCCUAUGAGUUUGUGGUAGUAGUAAAGUAUUUGAUGUCUUGUAAAACAAAGAAAAAGAAGAAGAGUUGUGUUGAGUUUACAAACUUCACAAAAAAUGUGUUGAUUUGUAAAG
Molecule: unclassified non-coding RNA, 1033 nt
Filed under: Hevea brasiliensis (rubber tree)
Lineage: Eukaryota; Viridiplantae; Streptophyta; Magnoliopsida; Malpighiales; Euphorbiaceae
Source: RNAcentral